RNAcentral lists this long non-coding RNA (1092 nucleotides) under Varroa destructor (honeybee mite). RNAcentral's name for it is "uncharacterized LOC111249325, transcript variant X2". The record is from RNAcentral. Lineage: Eukaryota; Metazoa; Arthropoda; Arachnida; Mesostigmata; Varroidae.
ACAACGAUAUAAUAUUGUUCUAUUAACCAAUGUAAACAUUUGCUUGGUACUGCCAAAAUUGCCUCAGACGGCAGGGUCCUGCCAGCGCAAAAGGCCUGCACCGCUACCGUGACAUGCACUUCUGGCCUAGCAGACAAGUAGUGUGCCAGUCUAAGACCGCAUCUCUCCAAAUGUCCACACCAUAGUAUUUUUACUAACGAGUUUACACUCAUUUGAUUGGAAGACUAAUGGAAUCGGCUGCCAUACUUACAGAAAGAGACGCUAAUUUUUUUCAAGCGAACGAAUUUCACCAAGCAGUAAUGGAACAAGAUUCGUGUUUAAUGACAAAUUGAAUAGUAGAAAAAUCCGUACUCGUUGACGGCACGCGCUUUCCUGGGCUGAUAUCCUCCGCAGCUGACGUCGUUCGUCAGCUAUCAUUAUUACUGCCCCAGGGGGGCAGCGUCAGCUGUCGAAGAUCGUAUGUGAUGGGCAUUAGCAUAAAUAAUCGAUUGUCGAUGAUACGACUUGGACUUAAGGAAACCUACAAAGUCGCUGGGACUAAAUCUAUGCUGCCAUAGCCAGCCAGCUACCACUAUACGAAGGAAAACGCUCUGACGCCAUCGGCGCUUGACGUUUGCUGCGUUCUGCCAAAAUACAAAAUGAAAACAGAAAUAGGAGAGGAGGAGAUUUUCCAAGGAAAGAAAAAGAAAGGCUAUCAGCAGCAGUUCUACCUUUCCUAUAAUAUCCAUGAUUUACUUCUAUGUAUUGCCCUUUCACAAUCGAUAUUACAAUAUCGCUGUGGGAGAACGUCGUGUGGAUAUCUUUCGUACGUGACUGUGCUGAGGCUUUAUAAGCGUAAAGAUUUGCCUAACCACACAUUGUGUCUCUGCCAAUGAUCUGAGAAGAGCAAUCAAUAUGAGGAUUUUACUGUUGGUAAGCGCGUUUCUCGGAACGGCCCUUUGCGGCGGCGGAGGAGGUUGGGCCGGCGGUGGAGGGGGCGGAGGCCAUGGAGGCGGCCCAAGCAAAACGUUUAUUGUGAAGGUCCAAAAAGCUGGUGGAGGUGGUCAUGGAGGUGGAGGAGGCGGAUGGCAGGGUGGAGGUGGAGGAGGCGGA